Molecule: microRNA, 21 nt
Filed under: Asparagus officinalis (garden asparagus)
Lineage: Eukaryota; Viridiplantae; Streptophyta; Magnoliopsida; Asparagales; Asparagaceae
Description: aof-miR12161
Source: miRBase by way of RNAcentral
CGAGUUUUCACGUUUGGGCGA